GCCGGAGGGAAACCGAGUCUUAACCGGGCGUUAAGUUGCAGGGUAUAGACCCGAAACCCGGUGAUCUAGCCAUGGGCAGGUUGAAGGUUGGGUAACACUAACUGGAGGACCGAACCGACUAAUGUUGAAAAAUUAGCGGAUGACCUGUGGCUGGGGGUGAAAGGCCAAUCAAACCGGGAGAUAGCUGGUUCUCCCCGAAAGCUAUUUAGGUAGCGCCUCGUGAAUUCAUCUCCGGGGGUAGAGCACUGUUUCGGCUAGGGGGCCAUCCCGGCUUACCAACCCGAUGCAAACUGCGAAUACCGGAGAAUGUUAUCACGGGAGACACACGGCGGGUGCUAACGUCCGUCGUGAAGAGGGAAACAACCCAGACCGCCAGCUAAGGUCCCAAAGUCAUGGUUAAGUGGGAAACGAUGUGGGAAGGCCCAGACAGCCAGGAUGUUGGCUUAGAAGCAGCCAUCAUUUAAAGAAAGCGUAAUAGCUCACUGGUCGAGUCGGCCUGCGCGGAAGAUGUAACGGGGCUAAACCAUGCACCGAAGCUGCGGCAGCGACGCUGAUGCGUUGUUGGGUAGGGGAGCGUUCUGUAAGCCUGCGAAGGUGUGUCGUGAGGCAUGCUGGAGGUAUCAGAAGUGCGAAUGCUGACAUAAGUAACGAUAAAGCGGGUGAAAAGCCCGCUCGCCGGAAGACCAAGGGUUCCUGUCCAACGUUAAUCGGGGCAGGGUGAGUCGACCCCUAAGGCGAGGCCGAAAGGCGUAGUCGAUGGGAAACGGGUUAAUAUUCCCGUACUUGGUGUUACUGCGAAGGGGGGACGGAGAAGGCUAUGUUGGCCGGGCGACGGUUGUCCCGGUUUAAGCGUGUAGGUGUGUGUUCCAGGUAAAUCCGGUUCACUUUAACACUGAGGCGUGAUGACGAGGCACUACGGUGCUGAAGCAACAAAUGCCCUGCUUCCAGGAAAAGCCUCUAAGCAUCAGGUAACAUCAAAUCGUACCCCAAACCGACACAGGUGGUCAGGUAGAGAAUACCAAGGCGCUUGAGAGAACUCGGGUGAAGGAACUAGGCAAAAUGGUGCCGUAACUUCGGGAGAAGGCACGCUGACACGUAGGUGAAGUGAUUUACUCAUGGAGCUGAAGUCAGUCGAAGAUACCAGCUGGCUGCAACUGUUUAUUAAAAACACAGCACUGUGCAAACACGAAAGUGGACGUAUACGGUGUGACGCCUGCCCGGUGCCGGAAGGUUAAUUGAUGGGGUCAGCGCAAGCGAAGCUCCUGAUCGAAGCCCCGGUAAACGGCGGCCGUAACUAUAACGGUCCUAAGGUAGCGAAAUUCCUUGUCGGGUAAGUUCCGACCUGCACGAAUGGCGUAAUGAUGGCCAGGCUGUCUCCACCCGAGACUCAGUGAAAUUGAACUCGCUGUGAAGAUGCAGUGUACCCGCGGCAAGACGGAAAGACCCCGUGAACCUUUACUAUAGCUUGACACUGAACAUUGAGCCUUGAUGUGUAGGAUAGGUGGGAGGCUUUGAAGUGUGGACGCCAGUCUGCAUGGAGCCGGCCUUGAAAUACCACCCUUUAAUGUUUGAUGUUCUAACGUGGACCCGUGAUCCGGGUUGCGGACAGUGUCUGGUGGGUAGUUUGACUGGGGCGGUCUCCUCCUAAAGAGUAACGGAGGAGCACGAAGGUUGGCUAAUCCUGGUCGGACAUCAGGAGGUUAGUGCAAUGGCAUAAGCCAGCUUGACUGCGAGCGUGACGGCGCGAGCAGGUGCGAAAGCAGGUCAUAGUGAUCCGGUGGUUCUGAAUGGAAGGGCCAUCGCUCAACGGAUAAAAGGUACUCCGGGGAUAACAGGCUGAUACCGCCCAAGAGUUCAUAUCGACGGCGGUGUUUGGCACCUCGAUGUCGGCUCAUCACAUCCUGGGGCUGAAGUAGGUCCCAAGGGUAUGGCUGUUCGCCAUUUAAAGUGGUACGCGAGCUGGGUUUAGAACGUCGUGAGACAGUUCGGUCCCUAUCUGCCGUGGGCGCUGGAGAACUGAGGGGGGCUGCUCCUAGUACGAGAGGACCGGAGUGGACGCAUCACUGGUGUUCGGGUUGUCAUGCCAAUGGCACUGCCCGGUAGCUAAAUGCGGAAGAGAUAAGUGCUGAAAGCAUCUAAGCACGAAACUUGCCCCGAGAUGAGUUCUCCCUGAGACUUAGAGUCUCCUGAAGGAACGUUGAAGACGACGACGUUGAUAGGCCGGGUGUGUAAGCGCAGCGAUGCGUUGAGCUAACCGGUACUAAUGAACCGUGAGGCUUAACCUUACAACGCCGAAG
This 2297-nucleotide ribosomal RNA is filed under the name Salmonella enterica subsp. enterica serovar Johannesburg. Its description in RNAcentral is "partial 23S ribosomal RNA". It matches the Rfam family "Bacterial large subunit ribosomal RNA", at positions 665 to 2925 of the family's 2925-position model. Lineage: Bacteria; Pseudomonadati; Pseudomonadota; Gammaproteobacteria; Enterobacterales; Enterobacteriaceae. The record is from RNAcentral.